GGCUCUAUGGCCUAAUGGACAAGGCGUCGUUCUUCUAAAGCGAGGACUGCAGUUCGAGACCUAGCAGGGCUG
Molecule: non-coding RNA, 72 nt
Organism: Brugia malayi
Lineage: Eukaryota; Metazoa; Nematoda; Chromadorea; Rhabditida; Onchocercidae
Source: Rfam